RNAcentral lists this ribosomal RNA (237 nucleotides) under Arabidopsis thaliana (thale cress). The record is from RNAcentral. Lineage: Eukaryota; Viridiplantae; Streptophyta; Magnoliopsida; Brassicales; Brassicaceae.
CUAGAUGGGUAUCCCUACAUAGCGGGUGGGACCCACGGCGAAUGGUUCAUCAAGUCUUCAAAAAAGAAUAUAUACGAUUGCAUUGCAUAUACUAACGGAUGCGAUCAUACCAGCACUAAUGCACCGGAUCCCAUCAGAACUCCGCAGUUAAGCGUGCUUGGGCGAGAGUAGUACUAGGAUGGGUGACCUCCCGGGAAGUCCUCGUGUUGCAUCCCUCUUUUAUGUUUAACUUUUUUU